RNAcentral lists this ribosomal RNA (301 nucleotides) under uncultured bacterium. RNAcentral's name for it is "partial 16S ribosomal RNA". It matches the Rfam family "Bacterial small subunit ribosomal RNA", at positions 509 to 807 of the family's 1533-position model. The record is from RNAcentral.
CAGUCGCCACGGGAAUACGUAGGUGGCAAGCGUUGUCCGGAAUUAUUGGGCGUAAAGGGCUCGCAGGCGGUUUCUUAAGUCUGAUGUGAAAGCCCCCGGCUCAACCGGGGAAGGUCAUUGGAAACUGGGAAACUUGAGUGCAGAAGAGGAGAGUGGAAUUCCACGUGUAGCGGUGAAAUGCGUAGAGAUGUGGAGGAACACCAGUGGCGAAGGCGACUCUCUGGUCUGUAACUGACGCUGAGGAGCGAAAGCGUGGGGAGCGAACAGGAUUAGAUACCCCAGUAGUCCCUGUCUCUUAUAC